UACGGAGGAUCCGAGCGUUAUCCGGAUUUAUUGGGUUUAAAGGGUGCGCAGGCGGAAGAUUAAGUCGGUGGUGAAAUUUUGCAGCUUAACUGUAACAGUGCCGUUGAUACUGGGGAGCUAGGAUUUGGUUGCUGUGGGUGGAAUGUGUGGUGUAGCGGUGAAAUGCUUAGAGAUCACACAGAAUAUCGAUUGCGAAGGCAGCUCACAAAGCCAAGAUUGACGCUGAGGCACGAAAGUGUGGGGAUCAAACAGGAUUA
Molecule: ribosomal RNA, 257 nt
Filed under: uncultured prokaryote
Description: partial 16S ribosomal RNA
Rfam family: Bacterial small subunit ribosomal RNA
Source: RNAcentral